This 403-nucleotide ribosomal RNA is filed under the name Candidatus Williamhamiltonella defendens. RNAcentral's name for it is "bacterial SSU rRNA". It matches the Rfam family "Bacterial small subunit ribosomal RNA", at positions 27 to 420 of the family's 1533-position model. Lineage: Bacteria; Pseudomonadati; Pseudomonadota; Gammaproteobacteria; Enterobacterales; Enterobacteriaceae. The record is from RNAcentral.
GAUUGAACGCUGGUGGCAGGCCUAACACAUGCAAGUCGAGCGGCAUCGAGUGAUCGCAGUUUACUGAGUUCAUGUCGGCGAGCGGCGGACGGGUGAGUAAAGUCUGGGAAUCUGGCCGAAGGAGGGGGAUAACUGCUGGAAACGGCAGCUAAUACCGCAUGAAGUCGCGAGACCAAAGUGGGGGACCUUCGGGCCUCACGCCUUCGGAUGAGCCCAGAUGAGAUUAGCUGGUAGGUAAGGUAAAGGCUCACCUAGGCGACGAUCUCUAGCGGGUCUGAGAGGAUAGCCCGCCACACUGGAACUGAGACACGGUCCAGACUCCUACGGGAGGCAGCAGUGGGGAAUAUUGCACAAUGGGCGAAAGCCUGAUGCAGCCAUGCCACGUGUGUGAAGAAGGCCUUCG